Molecule: transfer RNA, 71 nt
Filed under: Deltaproteobacteria bacterium
Lineage: Bacteria; Pseudomonadati; Myxococcota; Myxococcia
Description: tRNA-Lys
Source: RNAcentral
GCACAGGCAGUACAGCUGUGGGAUUCAUCCCCCUUAAGGAAGCGGUCGUGAGUUCGAGUCUCACCCUGGCA